RNA transcript from Sapajus apella (tufted capuchin), 370 nucleotides. It is a transcript of the gene named cartilage-associated protein pseudogene, with no coding region annotated. Lineage: Eukaryota; Metazoa; Chordata; Mammalia; Primates; Cebidae. The transcript has a single exon. The record is from RefSeq and is a predicted model, not a curated record.
CAAGAAAUUUGUGGCUACCAUGUAUCAUUACUUGCAGUUUGCCUAUUAUAAGUUGAACGACCUGAAGAAUGCAGCCCCCUGUGCAGUCAGCUACCUGCUCUUUGAUCAGAAUGACAAGGUCAUGCAGCAGAACCUGGUGUAUUACCAGUACCACAGGGAUGCUUGGGGCCUCUCGGAUGAGCACUUCCAGCCCAGACCAGAAGCAGUGCAGUUCUUUAACGUGACGACACUCCAGAAGGAGCUGUAUGACUCUGCUAAGGAAAAUAGAAUGGAUGAUGAGGGAGAAGUUGUGGAAUAUGUGGAUGAUCUCUUGGAACUGGAGGAGACCAGCUAGCCCACAGCAACCGAACAGACUUCCUCGCGAUGUUCA